UACAGAGGGGGCGAGCGUUAUUCGGAAUUAUUGGGCGUAAAGGGCGCGUAGGCGGCCAUUCAAGUGACGGGUGAAAGCCCUCGGCUUAACCGAGGAACUGCCUGUCAGACUGGAUGGCUUGAGACCGGGAGAGGUGAGUGGAAUUCCCAGUGUAGCGGUGAAAUGCGUAGAUAUUGGGAGGAACACCAGUGGCGAAGGCGGCUCACUGGACCGGAACUGACGCUGAGGCGCGAAAGCGUGGGGAGCAAACAGG
This 253-nucleotide ribosomal RNA is filed under the name uncultured bacterium. RNAcentral describes it as "partial 16S ribosomal RNA". It matches the Rfam family "Bacterial small subunit ribosomal RNA", at positions 524 to 776 of the family's 1533-position model. The record is from RNAcentral.